Molecule: long non-coding RNA, 1238 nt
Filed under: Equus asinus (donkey)
Lineage: Eukaryota; Metazoa; Chordata; Mammalia; Perissodactyla; Equidae
Description: lncRNA (ENSEASG00005032782.1)
Source: RNAcentral
CCUGAGAAAUAGUCGUUCCUCUUGUUAGGAUGUGGAGAUUAAUCCCAAUUGGGCAUCAGGCAUCAGCCAAGUGCUCAAAAACUGUUGAGGAAGGAAACAUUGCAGUUUUUUAAUCAAAGUUCUGGCUGAGUCAGAGCGAUGUUCCAGGUUGGUUCAACCUAACAUAAAUGUUUCGAUGAAAGCUGGUUAGCCUUUACCAUUUCUCCUUAAGUACAGAGUGCUUUAAUUAGAGGAAAGCAAAGCAACAGCUGCUGUGAAUCUGUUCUGCUGUUGAGUUGUCAAUGCAAAGGCUCAAUUUCGAGCACUUCUUACUAAGCUUUCAGUACCAUUCUGGAGUCUGAAUUUACUGGUAUCUAAUGGUGAGAUUUCAACACCAGACAAGGAAAACAUGCUGGCCUUGAACUCAAGCCCUGUUCCUUGGGUUUCGAAUCUGAUCCACGGGGGUCCUGGAGUGCUCGACUGAGGAUUCUAAGACCACUUCAGGGCUCAGCAGCAGACGGUGCCAUGUGCCUGCCUCAGAACUGAGAAGCGAUUUUUACAUCCGCGCUUUCUGACUGACUAAGAGUUCACAGAGCUUUCCUACCACUGAGAAGGCGAUUCCAUUGGUCUAAGAACCCAUCUCUGCACCUCUGCCUGGUUCCUCUGCAGUGGGAUGAAGUGGAAUGGAUUUGGGUUCAAAAUGACCUAGAUUCAAACCUCAGCUCCAAUGCUUACUGGAUGUGUGACUCUGGUUAAGAUAAUCCCGCUUGAGCGAUGAAAAUGAUUGGUUCAUAGUGCUCCCUCAGUAGAGUCAAGGGCAAGCUGGGGAAACUGAAGCAAGGAGGGAUGAAGUGACUUAACCAAGGUCAUGUGAGCUCACGGUGGCAGAUCUGGGAUUGCAAAGCUCAGGAAUUGAAAAUGGCUGUUUCAUCAUUGGAGAGGAAGAAGGAUGUUAUCAGCGCAUUAGCAUCUCUACAGUCAAGCUGAAGUGUGAUUGACUCUGGGCAGUUUGAUCAAUCAAGGUGGUCAACAGGAAGUUAUUUCCUCAAAUAUCGACGUCCUAUGUUUGAAUUGACUACUCUAUCUACCCUCUCAGAGUUUCAGGACACGUCCCCCCGCCACUUUCCGCUUCUGGCAUAUGGUGGUAACAGCUCCCAGUUAUUGCUAGACCCUGAGUGCUGCCACAUCCUUGGAGGAUAGCCCUACCUGCACAGCUGUACAUGAUCCUUUUAUUAAACAAUAAAUGAUAUCAAUUACCC